GAUGAACGCUGGCGGCGUGCCUAAUACAUGCAAGUCGAGCGAACAGACGAGGAGCUUGCUCCUCUGACGUUAGCGGCGGACGGGUGAGUAACACGUGGAUAACCUACCUAUAAGACUGGGAUAACUUCGGGAAACCGGAGCUAAUACCGGAUAAUAUAUUGAACCGCAUGGUUCAAUAGUGAAAGACGGUUUUGCUGUCACUUAUAGACGGAUCCGCGCCGCAUUAGCUAGUUGGUAAGGUAACGGCUUACCAAGGCAACGAUGCGUAGCCGACCUGAGAGGGUGAUCGGCCACACUGGAACUGAGACACGGUCCAGACUCCUACGGGAGGCAGCAGUAGGGAAUCUUCCGCAAUGGGCGAAAGCCUGACAGAGCAACGCCGCGUGAGUGAUGAAGGUCUUCGGAUCGUAAAACUCUGUUAUUAGGGAAGAACAAAUGUGUAAGUAACUGUGCACGUCUUGACGGUACCUAAUCAGAAAGCCACGGCUAACUACGUG
This 497-nucleotide ribosomal RNA is filed under the name uncultured bacterium. Its description in RNAcentral is "partial 16S ribosomal RNA". It matches the Rfam family "Bacterial small subunit ribosomal RNA", at positions 28 to 507 of the family's 1533-position model. The record is from RNAcentral.